This 25-nucleotide unclassified non-coding RNA is filed under the name Mus musculus (house mouse). Its description in RNAcentral is "oocyte_clustered_small_RNA13635". Lineage: Eukaryota; Metazoa; Chordata; Mammalia; Rodentia; Muridae. The record is from RNAcentral.
UAGCUAUGGAGUUGGGAAGGAUUUG